RNAcentral lists this ribosomal RNA (459 nucleotides) under uncultured bacterium. RNAcentral's name for it is "partial 16S ribosomal RNA". It matches the Rfam family "Bacterial small subunit ribosomal RNA", at positions 338 to 795 of the family's 1533-position model. The record is from RNAcentral.
CCUACGGGUGGCAGCAGUGAGGAAUAUUGGUCAAUGGCCGAGAGGCUGAACCAGCCAAGUCGCGUGAGGGAAGACGGCCCUACGGGUUGUAAACCUCUUUUGUCGGGGAGCAAAGCGAGUCACGUGUGACUCAUUGAGAGUACCCGAAGAAAAAGCAUCGGCUAACUCCGUGCAAGCAGCCGCGGUAAUACGGAGGAUGAGAGCGUUAUCCGGAUUUAUUGGGUUGAAAGGGUGCGCAGGCGGAGGUGCAGGUCAGCGGUCAAAUGGCGGGGCUCAACCCCGUACUGCCGAUGAAACUGCAUGCCUUGAGUGCGCGAGAGGGAUGCGGAAUGCUUGGUGUAGCGGUGAAAUGCAUAGAUAUCACGCGGAACUCCGAUUGCGAAGGCAGCAUACCGGCGAGCAACUGACGCUCAUGCACGAAAGCGUGGGUAUCGAACAGGAUUAGAUACCCGGGUAGUC